Small nuclear RNA from Fukomys damarensis (Damara mole-rat), 104 nucleotides. NCBI's taxonomy places the organism in Eukaryota, Metazoa, Chordata, Mammalia, Rodentia, Bathyergidae. The record is from Ensembl.
GUCCUCACUUUGGCAGCACAUAUACUAAAAUUGGAAUGAUACAGAGAUUAGCAUGGCCCCUGCACAAGGAUGACACACAAAUUUAUAAAGCAUUCCAUAUUUUU